AUGGGAGCAGGAGGAGGGCUCCCGUGGUGGCUGGCCACCACCGGGUGCUCGCCGUCGUCGUCUGGCUCCUUCGCCGGCAGGCUCGCAUUCCUCCUGCUCUCGCCGUGCCCGCAGCGCGCGCUCCUUGGCGCCAUCGACGUCUUCUUCCUCGCGGCCUCGCUCGUCCUCGCCCUCUGUCGCCGCGGCGCCGACGACGCGUCUCCUGAGAAGGAGCCACUGCUACCGUCGCCGACUCUCACUCCGACCGCGCCGUUCCGGGACACCGGCCGCCACGCCGUCGCGCUCGGGGCCUCCGCCCCCACCGCCGCGGCGUCCGCCGUCCUCCUUGCACCCGUGAUCUUCCUCCUGCCGGCAGCAGGCACGAAGCCGUGGCGUCUCAUGGAGUCCGCCUUCCUCGCCGUCCAGUUCGCCGCACACGCCGCGAUCGCAUGGACCGUGCUCGCCUCCGCUCACCCUCCGCACCUCUGUGUGUUUUGGAUCGCCACCGCCCUUGGUGCCGCGCUGUUCUCCGCCUCCGCGGCCGUCCGCUGCGCCGACGGCUCGCCGCUCCUCCCCGACGACGUCCUCGCCUUCGCCGGCCUGCUCGUGUCGCUUCCUCUCGCGUACGUGGCCAUCACCACCUACACGGCGCCGGCGCGUGAUGAAGAGGACGAACACGAACAGGACCAGAACCCCAGCGCGGCGGUGGCGGCGACGGCGACGCCGUACGUGACCGCGUCGUUCCUCUUGCGUGCGACCUUCAGCUGGAUCAACCCGCUCAUCUCCAAGGGGCACGCCAACGAGUCCCUCGCCGACACCGACGUCCCGCCGGUGUCGCUGGACCACCGCGCCGAGUCUGCGUACGCUCUGCUCGCGUCCAACUGGCCGGCGGCAACGGCAGCACGGGGGUGGCGGAGCCUGGUCGGCGUCGCGCUCUGGCUGUCCUUCUGGCCGCAGUUCCUGCUCAUCGCGGCGCCGGGGCUCGUGCAGCUCGCGGCCAUGUACGUCGGCCCGUCGCCCAUCGACCGUUUCGUCGAGUUCAUCCACCGCAGCGGCACGCCAUUGGAGGGCCUCCGACUUGUGGCCAUCCUGAUCGCCGGCAAGGCGGUCCAGACGCUGGCGUCGCACCACUACAACUUCCAGGGCCAGCUCCUGGGCAUGCGCAUCCGCGGCGCGCUGCUCUCUCACGGUGAUGUACCGCAAGUCGUUGCGGCUGUCCACCGGCGCGGCGCGCGUGCACGGCACGGGCGCCAUCGUGAACUACAUGCAGGUGGACACCUCGAUGGUGUCCGGCGCCAUGCACGGGCUGCACGGCCUGUGGCUGAUGCCGCUGCAGAUUGCGGUGGCCCUGUUCCUCCUGUACGUGUACCUGGGCCCGCCGUGCUCAUGACGCUCGCUGUGAUCACCGCCGUCGUCGUGGUCACCGCGUUCGCCAACAAGCUCAACCUGGGCUACCAGUUCAAGUUCUUCAGCGCCCGCGACAACAGCGUGAAGGCCCCGACGGAGAUGCUCGGCCAAAUGCGCAUGAUCAAGCUGCAGGCGUGGGAAGAGACCUUCGGCGGCAAGGUGCUGGAGCUCCGACGCGUCGAGGUGGGGUGGCUGAAGAAGGUGAUACUCUUCGUGUGCGCCACCAACGUGGUGUACUCCAGCGGGCCCAUCGCCAUGACGGUUCUCGUGUUCGGGACGUACCUCACCACCGGAGGGGAGCUCGACGCCGGCAAGGUGUUCACGGCCACCGCCUUCUUCUGCAUGCUCGAAGGCCCCAUGAGCAACUUCCCGCAGACCAUGGUGAUGUCCAUGCAGGCGCUUGUGUUGACGCUGUACAAGUUCCUGGCGGAUGCCGAGAUCGACACCACGGCGGUGGAGCGUCCUGGCAGUGACACCGCCGGGGAUGAGGUGGCCGCGAGGGUGCAAUGCGGGGUGUUCGCAUGGGACGUCCAGGGCAGCGAUGACGAGGAGAAGGAUGGCGGAGGGGUGGAGCCGGUGCUGAAAGGGAUCAAGGUGGAGGUGAGGAAGGGGGAGCUCGCGGUGGUGAUCGAAGCGGUUGGCUCCAGCAAGUCGUCGCUGCUGUCCUGCAUCAUGAGAGAGAUGCACAAGGUCUCCGGCAAGGAAUCACUUUGGAUAAGGUCAUCGAUAAAAGAAUUUAAAGAUAUCAUGGCUUAA
This 2142-nucleotide ribosomal RNA is filed under the name Triticum aestivum (bread wheat). RNAcentral describes it as "partial small subunit ribosomal RNA". Lineage: Eukaryota; Viridiplantae; Streptophyta; Magnoliopsida; Poales; Poaceae. The record is from RNAcentral.